This 364-nucleotide unclassified non-coding RNA is filed under the name Hevea brasiliensis (rubber tree). Lineage: Eukaryota; Viridiplantae; Streptophyta; Magnoliopsida; Malpighiales; Euphorbiaceae. The record is from RNAcentral.
AAAUCGGGCUUCUAGCUGCGGUAAAUCACAUAAUUAUCUUCUUCACUUUUGGCCAAGAAUCACUUAGCAUAUCAUCUAUAAUCCCGAUCAAGAGCAACUUGUACCAAACUUUAUCAACAAUCAAGUUGCGUUUUCAAUAGAACUAUUUCUGGAUGACUUGUGGAUAUUCCGAGCUUAAUUUGGAAGCAUUCAAAUUGGUGGGUUCCAUCCCAUAAUUGAACUUGAUAAUUCAGCAAACAAGUUAGGUUCUGAUGAGUGGGUACUCACAUCUUUAGGACCUGUUGACUUCCAGAACAGCUAGUCAACAGUCAUUUUCACAGCUUUGUACCCAGCAUUUGCUUUGUGGGGUAUGGUAGGACUUGGG